GUCGAACGGUGAAAAUGAGGCUUCGGCCGAAACACGAGUGGCGCACGGGUGAGUAAUACAUAGGUAAUCUGCCCUCGAGUGGGGGAUAACGUUCCGAAAGGAGCGCUAAUACCGCAUAACCCGCAUUGAGCACAAGCUCUUUGCGGCAAAGAUGGCCUCUGCUUGCAAGCUAUCGCUUGAGGAGGAGCCUGUGUCCCAUUAGGUAGUUGGUGAGGUAACGGCUCACCAAGCCUGCGAUGGGUAGCCGGCCUGAGAGGGUGGUCGGCCACACUGGCACUGAGAUACGGGCCAGACUCCUACGGGAGGCAGCAGUGAGGAAUUUUGGGCGAUGGGCGAAAGCCUGACCCAGCGACGCCGCGUGGGCGAUGAAGGUCUUCGGAUUGUAAAGCCCUGUGAGUUGGGAAGAAGGGGUUAGUUGCUAAUAUCAACUAAUUCUGACAGUACCGACAGAGGAAGCCCCGGCUAACUACGUGCCAGCAGCCGCGGUAAUACGUAGGGGGCUAGCGUUGUUCGGAAUUACUGGGCGUAAAGCGCGUGUAGGCGGUUUUGUAAGUCAGAAGUGAAAUCCUCCGGCUCAACUGGAGAACUGCAUCU
Molecule: ribosomal RNA, 594 nt
Filed under: uncultured bacterium
Lineage: Bacteria
Description: bacterial SSU rRNA
Rfam family: Bacterial small subunit ribosomal RNA
Source: RNAcentral